GAAGCUGAAAAUGACACUGUGAACUGGUGGCAAAGAAGAAUCAGCUGGCAGCUGCAGUGUUUAGACUCAACAUAGUAAUAUAAGCAAAAAUUCAGAGGACAUAUGCAUAGAGUAUUAACAGAU
Molecule: long non-coding RNA, 123 nt
Organism: Herpailurus yagouaroundi (jaguarundi)
Lineage: Eukaryota; Metazoa; Chordata; Mammalia; Carnivora; Felidae
Exons: 2
Source: RefSeq, a predicted model, not a curated record